RNA transcript from Nannospalax galili (Upper Galilee mountains blind mole rat), 393 nucleotides. It is a transcript of the gene named 60S acidic ribosomal protein P1 pseudogene, with no coding region annotated. NCBI's taxonomy places the organism in Eukaryota, Metazoa, Chordata, Mammalia, Rodentia, Spalacidae. The record is from RefSeq and is a predicted model, not a curated record. The transcript has a single exon.
AGCAUGGCCUCCCAGCUCGCUUGCAUCUACUCCGCCCUCAUCCUGCACGAUGACGAGGUCACCGUGACGGAGGAUAAGAUCAAUGCUCUCACUAAAGCAGCUGGUGUCAAUGUUGAACCUUUUUGGCCUGGCUUGUUUGCAAAAGCCCUGGCUAAUGUCCACACUGGGAGCCUUAUCUGCAAUGUAGGGGCUGGUGGACCUGCUCCGGCAGCUGGUGCCUCGCUCCAGCAGGCGGUCCUGCCCCCUCUGCUGCCCCUGCCCCGGCUGAAGAGAAGAAAGUGGAAGCAAAGAAAGAAGAAUCAGAGGAGUCUGAUGAUGACAUGGGUUUCAGUCUUUUUGACUAAACCUUUUGUUAACGUGCUCAAUAAAAAGCUGGACCUUUUGGUCUGUUGA